Long non-coding RNA from Teleopsis dalmanni, 1007 nucleotides. RefSeq lists it as uncharacterized. NCBI's taxonomy places the organism in Eukaryota, Metazoa, Arthropoda, Insecta, Diptera, Diopsidae. The transcript has 3 exons. The record is from RefSeq and is a predicted model, not a curated record.
CCACAUUCAGUUUUAAUUGUGACUGACUUUGUUUAUUUAACUCUUCAGUCUUUCGUACAAUUUCGUAGAUUAUAAAUGUAGCAUUAGCCGAUAUCAGAUACAAAAAAGUAUCGCAUCACUUCGUUCGUAUCUCGAGUUGUUGUUGAGUGUAUUAACUUUAGCCAUUUAGACAUAUAGUCGUACUUUAAUGUUUGCUUAAAUGAAAUUCAAACUUUUGGUUUUCAGUUGCUUAUCGCACUCUGAAAUAUUAGCUUGUCUUGUACAUAAGAGUUGUGUGAAUAUGUGCAAACACUGCAUGUACUCGAAAGUACAUAAUAGAAAUAUUUGAAACUCCCAUGGAGAACAACCGUUUAAACAGAGAAACUAUUUUUAUAACUCACUCAAUCUCAUUCAAAUCAUAUAUAACAUUACAUAGAUCCGAUCAAGAAAUACAUAAGCGACAAAGCGCUGAAGCUAUAUGCGAAAAUCGACAGGCUUUCUAAUCGCAGGGUAAUCACCAACCGCACGGGGCGGUACGCAGAUCUUAGAUCAGUCAUUAAAUAAUCACGAAGCUUAUAACGAAUACACAAAUUAGUCAAUGAGAUGGGUGGGACUCUGCGGAAACCUCCCAACUAUAAAAGAGUAACAGUGCCCUGACGCACUAACUCGGAAAAGGCUCAAAAUAAACAUAGACUAAUCUAAGUAGUUUACUCAACUAAGUAAUGAAAAUUGCCUUCAAAGCAUUGUUAAAGAAAAAAAUUAUAAUAAUUUAAUGAUUUGACCGAAUGGGCCAGGUUUAUAAUACUUGACUGAAUGAGCCAGGUUUUGAAUAAGCCAGCGUACUUGUCAUUUUCAAAGUGAAAUUCCAAGCCCUCGAUCAUAUCAAAUGUGCGUUCUUUUAUACAGAAUAUGCCGGAGCUUUUUGGUGUAGUGCACCGGUAUAUUUGCCGUUGAUAUGCCUGCUGUAUAUUUUGUACCAUUUGUGUUAUUUUUUGUGCUUUUUGUGUACUUUGUCUAGUUUGUGUUUU